RNAcentral lists this ribosomal RNA (811 nucleotides) under uncultured fungus. RNAcentral's name for it is "eukaryotic LSU rRNA". The stretch from base 1 to 241 matches the Rfam family "Eukaryotic small subunit ribosomal RNA", at positions 1593 to 1831 of the family's 1831-position model. Lineage: Eukaryota; Fungi. The record is from RNAcentral.
UUGCUCUUCAACGAGGAAUCCCUAGUAAGCGCAAGUCAUCAGCUUGCGUUGAUUACGUCCCUGCCCUUUGUACACACCGCCCGUCGCUACUACCGAUUGAAUGGCUCAGUGAGGCGUCCGGACUGGCCCAGGGAGGUGGGCAACUACCACCCAGGGCCGGAAAGCUCUCCAAACUCGGUCAUUUAGAGGAAGUAAAAGUCGUAACAAGGUCUCCGUUGGUGAACCAGCGGAGGGAUCACUACCGAGUUUACAACUCCCAAACCCAUGUGAACAUUACCUCUAUGUUGCUUCGGCGGAGCCGCCCCGGCGCCCGGAACCCCCUGCGGUCCCGCGGCCCGGAACCAAGGCGCCCGCCGGAGGCCACAAACUCUUCUGUUUUUACAGUUUCUUCUGAGUGUGCCGCAAGGCAGUAUACAAAUGAAUCAAAACUUUCAACAACGGAUCUCUUGGUUCUGGCAUCGAUGAAGAACGCAGCGAAAUGCGAUAAGUAAUGUGAAUUGCAGAAUUCAGUGAAUCAUCGAAUCUUUGAACGCACAUUGCGCCCGCCAGAAUUCUGGCGGGCAUGCCUGUUCGAGCGUCAUUUCAACCCUCGAGCUCCCCUUUCGGGGGGAGCCCGGCGUUGGGGACCCGGCGCUAACAACGCCGGCCCCGAAAUGGAGUGGCGGCCCGUCCGCGGCGACCUCUGCGUAGUAACAACCACUCGCACCGGGACCCGGGCGCGGCCACGCCGUAAAACACCCCACCUUCCGAAUGUUGACCUCGAAUCAGGUAGGAAUACCCGCUGAACUUUAGCAUAUCAAUAAGCGGAGGA